CCUAGGAACAACCUUUGGUCUUGUUUCAGGGCCAUGUUGUCUUGGCACUUGUAAACAGAAAAGAAACAAGUCAAAGACUAAAUAUAACUGGGUGGCUAAAAGUAGAUCAGGAAAGCAGGGAAGCAAGUGGUGUUUAUUACUCAGCUAUGACAGCACCUGCAGGCUUGUGUUUGAAAAGAGUAUGGAGAGCAUCUGCACCUCCAACAGCACCUGGAGCAACUGCAAGCAAGCAGGCUUAGCUGUGAAGGAAGGGAGCAGGCACGACACAACAGUGACACUGCUUGGCAGCAAGGAACAGAGAGGAGCUGAACCAGGACCCUCCGAAUGACAGCUGUGCUGACAAGCAGUCCUUGGAAGUGUGCGAGGAAAUGAUACGUGCCUGGCAGUCUUGCUGCUGCUCCUCCACUGCUGUGCCCUCUGUGCUGAAGAUCAUAAUGAAAUCCUAAGCAGGCAGAGAACCUCCUAAAAACCAUCCAUUGUCCCUGAGGCCCUGAGCUCUGACAGGUGGUGGAUUGCCUUUCUGCUGGUGUUCAGAUGCCUGCAGUGCAGGAACCAGUAUUCACAUGGCCAACUUCCCCGUUAAAGAAAGGAUUGUUUGAUUCACCAUGCACAGUACGACUGGUCAAAAUUAUCUGUGGCUGAACUCCUCCUCACUCAGCAUCUCCUAGGUGACGGUGACUGCACGUACUCCAACGUAUUUUAAAAUAAAAUAUCCCAUGGUUACAAUUACCAGUUGAAUUAUGAGGAUAAUGGCAGUGUUUGGUAUCUCACAUAAAGAACUCCAGGAGGCCACUUGGAUUGUAAAUACUGUGCUUGUUAAUCCAAAUCAAAAAAAACCCACAUGGGACAGAAUUUAAAGUGCUGUAUGCAAUAUUUUCAUUUCUCUUGUCUAUCUGAACAGUACAAACAUCAAUGGAGCUGGUUUGGAGUUAAGAGAAAAGGGAAAAAACAUUCAAAAAUAUCCCAGAAUAAGAAAAAAAUAGCAUUUGGAGUCUUUUGAUGGAUCUUCCCAGGACUGCUGAAAAAUCAGGAUCUUCUAGAAUUGUAUUACUCAUUACAGGAAGAACAGAAGUAUUGCCUUACCGCUAGUAGUGGGCAUAUAAAUCUGAGGCAAGCACUCAUAAACGAAAAGGCAGCUGGGAUGUGCAUAAACGUGAGCCCGUGGGUUUGGUGACACGUAGCGAAGUGGUGCUUACAGUACAGGAGUACUGGGACAAGUGGGAGGAAUAAUGAUCUCCUGCUGCUGCUGCUGAGACAUAGCUGGAGCAUGAGCAUGGAGGAGGGAUAAGAGAUGUGUUCAGACAGAAGGCCUGCUCCUUCACCCAGCCCUCAGCUUCCUUUACCAG
RNAcentral lists this long non-coding RNA (1346 nucleotides) under Gallus gallus (chicken). Its description in RNAcentral is "lncRNA (ENSGALG00010002740.1)". Lineage: Eukaryota; Metazoa; Chordata; Aves; Galliformes; Phasianidae. The record is from RNAcentral.